This 465-nucleotide ribosomal RNA is filed under the name uncultured bacterium. Its description in RNAcentral is "bacterial SSU rRNA". It matches the Rfam family "Bacterial small subunit ribosomal RNA", at positions 338 to 795 of the family's 1533-position model. The record is from RNAcentral.
CCUACGGGUUGCAGCAGUGGGGAAUAUUGCACAAUGGGCGCAAGCCUGAUGCAGCCAUGCCGCGUGUAUGAAGAAGGCCUUCGGGUUGUAAAGUACUUUCAGCGAGGAGGAAGGCAUUAAGGUUAAUAACCUUGGUGAUUGACGUUACUCGCAGAAGAAGCACCGGCUAACUCCGUGCCAGCAGCCGCGGUAAUACGGAGGGUGCAAGCGUUAAUCGGAAUUACUGGGCGUAAAGCGCACGCAGGCGGUUGAUUAAGUUAGAUGUGAAAUCCCCGGGCUUAACCUGGGAAUGGCAUCUAAGACUGGUCAGCUAGAGUCUUGUAGAGGGGGGUAGAAUUCCAUGUGUAGCGGUGAAAUGCGUAGAGAUGUGGAGGAAUACCGGUGGCGAAGGCGGCCCCCUGGACAAAGACUGACGCUCAGGUGCGAAAGCGUGGGGAGCAAACAGGAUUAGAUACCCUUGUAGUC